This 354-nucleotide ribosomal RNA is filed under the name uncultured bacterium. RNAcentral's name for it is "bacterial SSU rRNA". It matches the Rfam family "Bacterial small subunit ribosomal RNA", at positions 917 to 1267 of the family's 1533-position model. The record is from RNAcentral.
GGACCCGCACAAGUAGUGGAGCAUGUGGUUUAAUUCGAAGAUACGCGCAGAACCUUACCAACACUUGACAUGUUCGUCGCGACUCUAAGAGAUUAGAGUUUUCGGUUCGGCCGGACGAAACACAGGUGCUGCAUGGCUGUCGUCAGCUCGUGUCGUGAGAUGUUGGGUUAAGUCCCGCAACGAGCGCAACCCUCACUUUUAGUUGCCAUCAUUUAGUUGGGCACUCUGAAAGAACUGCCAGUGAUAAGCUGGAGGAAGGUGGGGAUGACGUCAAGUCCUCAUGGCCCUUACGGGCUGGGCUACACACGUGCUACAAUGGCGGUGACAGCGGGAAGCAAAGGGGCGAACCUGGAG